Molecule: ribosomal RNA, 468 nt
Filed under: uncultured bacterium
Lineage: Bacteria
Description: partial 16S ribosomal RNA
Rfam family: Bacterial small subunit ribosomal RNA
Source: RNAcentral
GACGAACGCUGGCGGCGUGCUUAGCACAUGCCAGGCGAACAGAAGGGCCCUGCGUUUGUGGGGUUCUCGAGUGGCGAACGGGUGAGUAACACGUGAGUAACCUGCCCUGGACUUUGGGAUAACGUCAUGGAACUGGGGCUGAUCCCGGAUAGGAGCUCCUGCUGCGUGGUGGUGGUUGGAAAGUGUCGGCGGUUGGGGAUGUACUCGCGGCUGAUCAGCUUGGUGGUUGAGUAGUGGCUUACCAAGGCUUUGACGGGUAGCCGGCCUGAGAGUCUGACCGGCCACACCGGGAGUGAGAUACGGCCACGCCUCCUACGGGAGCAAGUAGUGGGGAAUAUUGCCCACUGCGCGGACGCCUGAUGUAGCACCGCCGGGUGAGGGAUGACGGCCACAGGGCCGCAAACCGCUUUCGCAUGCGCCGAAGCGCGAGCGACGGCAACGGGUAAAGACGCACCGGCUAAAUACGUG